RNAcentral lists this ribosomal RNA (394 nucleotides) under uncultured bacterium. RNAcentral describes it as "partial 16S ribosomal RNA". It matches the Rfam family "Bacterial small subunit ribosomal RNA", at positions 523 to 918 of the family's 1533-position model. The record is from RNAcentral.
AUACGUAGGGGGCUAGCGUUAUCCGGAAUUACUGGGCGUAAAGGGUGCGUAGGCGGUUUCUUAAGUCAGAAGUGAAAGGCUACGGCUCAACCGUAGUAAGCUUUUGAAACUAGGUGACUUGAGUGCAGGAGAGGAGAGUAGAAUUUCUCGUGUAGCGGUGAAAUGCGUAGAUAUUAGGAGGAAUACCAGUUGCGAAGGUGGCUCUCUGGACUGUAACUGACACGGAGGCACAAAAGCGUGGGGAGCAAACAGGAUUAGAUCCCCUGGUAGUCCACGCCGUAAACGAGGAGUACUAGCUGUCGGGGGUUACCCCCCUCGGUGGCGCAGCUAACGCAUUAAGUACUCCGCCUGGGAAGUACGCUCGCAAGAGUGAAACUCAAAGGAAUUGACGGGG